GACGAACGCUGGCGGCGCGCCUAACACAUGCAAGUCGAACGGAGUCAAGAGGAGCUUGCUUUUCUUUAGUUAGUGGCGCACGGGUGAGUAACGCGUGAGUAACCUGCCCUGGAGUGGGGGACAACAGUUGGAAACGACUGCUAAUACCGCAUAAGCUCACGGAUCCGCAUGGAUCUGCGGGAAAAGGAGUUAUUCGCUUCAGGAUGGACUCGCGUCCAAUUAGCUAGUUGGUGAUGUAACGGCACACCAAUGCGACGAUUGGUACCCGGACGGAGAGGUUGAAAGGGCACAUUGGGAAUGAGACACGGACCAGAAUGCUACGGGGGGGAGGAGUGGGGGAUAUUGCACGAUGGGGGAAAACCUGAUGAAGCGGCGCCGGGGAGAGGAAGAAGGUUUUCGGAUUGUAAACUCCUGUCGUAAGGGACGAUAAUGACGGUACCUAACAAGAAAGCACCGGCUAACUACGUG
Molecule: ribosomal RNA, 468 nt
Filed under: uncultured bacterium
Lineage: Bacteria
Description: partial 16S ribosomal RNA
Rfam family: Bacterial small subunit ribosomal RNA
Source: RNAcentral